CAAUAGCGUAUAUUAAAGUUGUUGCUGUUAAAAAGCUCGUAGUUGGAUUUCUGGUGGGAGCGAUCGGUCUGGCGCUUAGCGCGAGUACUUGCAUCGUCUCCGGCCAUCCUUGGGGAGAGUCUGUCUGGCAUUAGGUUGUCGGGCAGAGGAUCCUCAUCGUUUACUGUGAAAAAAUUAGAGUGUUCAAAGCAGGCUUAUGCCGUUGAAUAUAUUAGCAUGGAAUAAUAAGAUAGGACUUUGGUACUAUUUUGUUGGUUUGCGCACCAAAGUAAUGAUUAAUAGGGACAGUUGGGGGUAUUCGUAUUCCGUUGUCAGAGGUGAAAUUCUUGGAUUUACGGAAGACGAACUACUGCGAAAGCAUUUACCAAGGAUGUUUUCAUUAA
This 383-nucleotide ribosomal RNA is filed under the name uncultured eukaryote. Its description in RNAcentral is "partial 18S ribosomal RNA". It matches the Rfam family "Eukaryotic small subunit ribosomal RNA", at positions 592 to 976 of the family's 1831-position model. The record is from RNAcentral.